RNAcentral lists this ribosomal RNA (253 nucleotides) under uncultured bacterium. RNAcentral's name for it is "partial 16S ribosomal RNA". It matches the Rfam family "Bacterial small subunit ribosomal RNA", at positions 524 to 776 of the family's 1533-position model. The record is from RNAcentral.
UACGAAGGGGGCUAGCGUUGCUCGGAAUCACUGGGCGUAAAGCGCACGUAGGCGGCUUUCUAAGUCAGGGGUGAAAUCCUGGAGCUCAACUCCAGAACUGCCUUUGAUACUGGGAAGCUUGAGUCCGGAAGAGGUGAGUGGAACUGCGAGUGUAGAGGUGAAAUUCGUAGAUAUUCGCAAGAACACCAGUGGCGAAGGCGGCUCACUGGUCCGGUACUGACGCUGAGGCGCGAAAGCCAGGGGAGCAAACGGG